UAGGGAAUAUUGCACAAUGGAGGAAACUCUGAUGCAGCGACGCCGCGUGAGUGAUGAAGGCCUUCGGGUCGUAAAGCUCUGUCGCAGGGGAAUAACACAAUGAAGGUACCCUGUAAGAAAGGAUCGGCUAACUUCGUGCCAGCAGCCGCGGUAAGACGAGGGAUCCUAGCGUUGUUCGGAAUCAUUGGGCGUAAAGCGGGUGUAGGUGGCUAUGUAAGUCAGGUGUGAAAGCCUAGGGCUCAACCCUAGAAGUGCAUCUGAUACUGCGUAGCUUGAGUGCUAGAGAGGUUACUAGAAUUGUUGGUGUAGUGGUGAAAUACGUAGAUAUCAACAGGAAUACCGGUGGCGAAGGCGGGUAACUGGCUAGACACUGACACUCAGACCCGAAAGCGUGGGGAUC
Molecule: ribosomal RNA, 400 nt
Filed under: uncultured bacterium
Lineage: Bacteria
Description: bacterial SSU rRNA
Rfam family: Bacterial small subunit ribosomal RNA
Source: RNAcentral